CUCCGAUACUGGCAAAGCCGGAGAAAUCCGGUGACGCAAAGCCACGGGUCCUCGGUCAUCGAAAGAUGGCACGGAUCGCCGGGUUGCCGAA
RNAcentral lists this non-coding RNA (91 nucleotides) under Desulfuromonas sp. RNAcentral's name for it is "c-di-GMP sequence". It matches the Rfam family "c-di-GMP-I riboswitch aptamer". From Rfam's summary of the family: GEMM was predicted in a large-scale screen for bacterial structured RNA regulatory elements. The record is from RNAcentral. Lineage: Bacteria; Pseudomonadati; Thermodesulfobacteriota; Desulfuromonadia; Desulfuromonadales; Desulfuromonadaceae.